RNAcentral lists this ribosomal RNA (353 nucleotides) under uncultured bacterium. RNAcentral describes it as "bacterial SSU rRNA". It matches the Rfam family "Bacterial small subunit ribosomal RNA", at positions 527 to 881 of the family's 1533-position model. The record is from RNAcentral.
GAAAGGUCCGGGCGUUAUCCGGAUUUAUUGGGUUUAAAGGGAGCGUAGGCCGGAGAUUAAGCGUGUUGUGAAAUGUAGACGCUCAACGUCUGCACUGCAGCGCGAACUGGUUUCCUUGAGUACGCCAAAAGUGGGCGGAAUUCGUGGUGUAGCGGUGAAAUGCUUAGAUAUCACGAAGAACUCCGAUUGCGAAGGCAGCUCACUGGAGCGCAACUGACGCUGAAGCUCGAAAGUGCGGGUAUCAAACAGGAUUNGAUACCCUGGUAGUCCGCACGGUANACGAUGGAUGCCCGCUGUUGGUCUGAAAUAGGUCAGCGGCCANGCGAANGCAUUANGCNUCCCACCUGGGAAGU